ACAGCUAUGUAGCCAUAGGUGCGGAGUCACAGUUGUGAAGCUGCAGUUGUAUAGCCACAGUGCCUCUUGGAAACCCUUCCUUUGUCCUUGUGGGGCACACGGGCUGGGUGCACAGCCCUGACAGCAGUCCUACCCCCUGAAGGUGGAGACCCACAGGCCGGGGGAAGGAUGGACCCAGAGCAACGGGGACAAGCCAGCGUGGCCUUCAGGCCUUUCCUUUCGGAGGAGACUGGCCAACCCCAAGAAGAAAGACCGCAGGUGGUGGGGGGCGGAGUGAGGACAAGAACCCUCGCGUCCUGCUCACCCGCAGCCUCGCUCUGCUGGCUCCAGCGCAGGAACAGCCCCGUGGAGCCCGGAGAGGAUGGAAAGAAAGAGCUGUGUCCUACAACCUGGAACUUAGCUGGGCAGGGGCCCUGCUGUGUGUCAGGCAUUCACAGUCCUUGAAAACAGAGGGAUCAGUCUGUUUCUUCCAGCAGAUUCCACCCUUUUCCUUGGAAACCAGUGGCUAUUCCAGGGGAGGCGUCUCUCCGCCCCUGUUCCUAACACAUGGCAGAAGCUUGGUCCCCGUCUGUGCAUCACAUGAAUGGAACAGAAGAGGGAAGGACAAACCAGCAGCAGAGAGGUUGGAGAGCCCACGUGACCGCCCCUGAACACAGGCCUACCUCCUGUGUCUCUGCGUCUGACCUCCCUGGGGAGUUCAAGGUCAGAAGCAGCCUCUUCCACGUCCACAGAGGCAGCAAGGGCACUCUGCCCUGUCCAUACGUCCACAGGUCCCCGAGCCGCCCUCUGCUGUCACGCUCCAGGCCCUGCUUUGUCACUAGACCACGAGGCUCUCAGUCCCGCUCUCCCUGGACCAGGAAGGCCCCCCGUGCUCUCCUGCCUCCUGGAGCAGGACCCUUGGCACAGGUGGGGCAAGGAGGCCUCCCUGAUCCUGGGCACAGCCAGCCCUCGGCCUCCUUGGAGAGUAAGUCUCAGGAGGGGCAGCCAGCUCGGUGAGGACAGGACUCCGCCUUCCCCAGGCACCAGAGCUGAGCAAACCAGGGUCAGGAGGGGCCACGUGAGCCGUCAGGUGAACGAGGGCAGAAGGAAUGUUAACACAGCAUCGGCCAAAGUGUGGGUCCCUGGAAAGCGGGCAUCUCAACGCACACGCC
Molecule: long non-coding RNA, 1151 nt
Filed under: Sus scrofa (pig)
Lineage: Eukaryota; Metazoa; Chordata; Mammalia; Artiodactyla; Suidae
Description: lncRNA (ENSSSCG00015048467.1)
Source: RNAcentral